GACGAACGCUGGCGGCGUGCUUAAUACAUGCAAGUCGAGCGAGGUCCAUCUGGUGGCAACACCAGUGAAGGCCGAGCGGCGAACGGGUGAGUAACACGUGAGCAACCUGCCCCGAAGUCUGGAAUAACAUCGGGAAACCGGUGCUAAUACCGGAUCGCCCCACCUGACCGCAUGAUCGGGUGAGGAAAGAUUUAUCGCUUCGGGAGGGGCUCGCGGCCUAUCAGCAGUUGGUGGGGUAACGGCCUACCAAGGCAUCGACGGGUAGCUGGUCUGAGAGGACGACCAGCCACACUGGGACUGAGACACGGCCCAGACUCCUACGGGAGGCAGCAGUAGGGAAUCUUGCGCAAUGGGCGAAAGCCUGACGCAGCAACGCCGCGUGGGGGAUGACGG
This 393-nucleotide ribosomal RNA is filed under the name uncultured bacterium. RNAcentral's name for it is "bacterial SSU rRNA". It matches the Rfam family "Bacterial small subunit ribosomal RNA", at positions 28 to 414 of the family's 1533-position model. The record is from RNAcentral.